AACGCACAUUGCGCCCUCUGGUAUUCCGGAGGGCAUGCCUGUUCGAGCGUCAUUAUCACCCCUCAAGCCCGGCUUGCUGUUGGCAGUCCGGCGUGGCCUCUGGGCCGCGCCCUGCCCAAAGAUAAUGACGGCGUCUGUGAGGACUCCUGUACACUGAGCUUUCGGGCACGUACUAGGCUAGAAGUCCGGGCGCCGGUCGACGUCCUCUCGGGGACACUUUUAUACCAAGGUUGACCUCGGAUCAGGUAGGGAUACCCGCUGAACUUAA
This 268-nucleotide unclassified non-coding RNA is filed under the name uncultured fungus. RNAcentral's name for it is "partial contains 5.8S ribosomal RNA, internal transcribed spacer 2, and large subunit ribosomal RNA". The stretch from base 1 to 52 matches the Rfam family "5.8S ribosomal RNA", at positions 103 to 154 of the family's 154-position model. Lineage: Eukaryota; Fungi. The record is from RNAcentral.